GAUGAACGCUAGCGGCAGGCCUAACACGUGCAAGUCGAGGGAGGAGCUUUCGGGCUUCGACCGGCGUACGGGUGCGUAACGCGUAUACAAUCUGCCUUUCACAUAGGGAUAGCCCGAAGAAAUUUGGAUUAAUACCUAAUGGUAUAUAGAGGUGGCAUCACCUUUAUAUUAAAGCUGAGGCGGUGAAAGAUGAGUAUGCGUUCUAUUAGCUAGUUGGAGAGGUAACGGCUCCCCAAGGCGACGAUAGAUAGGGGUUCUGAGAGGGAUAUCCCCCACACUGGUACUGAGAUACGGACCAGACUCCUACGGGAGGCAGCAGUGAGGAAUAUUGGACAAUGGUCGGAAGACUGAUCCAGCCAUGCCGCGUGCAGGAAGACGGCCUUAUGGGUUGUAAACUGCUUUUGCAGGGGAAGAAUAAGGACUACGCGUAGUUUGAUGACGGUACUCUGCGAAUAAGCAUCGGCUAACUCCGUG
This 474-nucleotide ribosomal RNA is filed under the name uncultured bacterium. Its description in RNAcentral is "partial 16S ribosomal RNA". It matches the Rfam family "Bacterial small subunit ribosomal RNA", at positions 28 to 507 of the family's 1533-position model. The record is from RNAcentral.